GGGGGGCUAUACAUGCAAGUCGAGCGGACAGAAGGGAGCUUGCUCCCGGAUGUUAGCGGCGGACGGGUGAGUAACACGUGGGUAACCUGCCUGUAAGACUGGGAUAACUCCGGGAAACCGGAGCUAAUACCGGAUAGUUCCUUGAACCGCAUGGUUCAAGGAUGAAAGACGGUUUCGGCUGUCACUUACAGAUGGACCCGCGGCGCAUUAGCUAGUUGGUGGGGUAAUGGCUCACCAAGGCGACGAUGCGUAGCCGACCUGAGAGGGUGAUCGGCCACACUGGGACUGAGACACGGCCCAGACUCCUACGGGAGGCAGCAGUAGGGAAUCUUCCGCAAUGGACGAAAGUCUGACGGAGCAACGCCGCGUGAGUGAUGAAGGUUUUCGGAUCGUAAAGCUCUGUUGUUAGGGAAGAACAAGUGCGAGAGUAACUGCUCGCACCUUGACGGUACCUAACCAGAAAGCCACGGCUAACUACGUGCCAGCAGCCGCGGUAAUACGUAGGUGGCAAGCGUUGUCCGGAAUUAUUGGGCGUAAAGGGCUCGCAGGCGGUUUCUUAAGUCUGAUGUGAAAGCCCCCGGCUCAACCGGGGAGGGUCAUUGGAAACUGGGAAACUUGAGUGCAGAAGAGGAGAGUGGAAUUCCACGUGUAGCGGUGAAAUGCGUAGAGAUGUGGAGGAACACCAGUGGCGAAGGCGACUCUCUGGUCUGUAACUGACGCUGAGGAGCGAAAGCGUGGGGAGCGAACAGGAUUAGAUACCCUGGUAGUCCACGCCGUAGACGAUGAGUGCUAAGUGUUAGGGGGUUUCCGCCCCUUAGUGCUGCAGCUAACGCAUUAAGCACUCCGCCUGGGGAGUACGGUCGCAAGACUGAAACUCAAAGGAAUUGACGGGGGCCCGCACAAGCGGUGGAGCAUGUGGUUUAAUUCGAAGCAACGCGAAGAACCUUACCAGGUCUUGACAUCCUCUGACAACCCUAGAGAUAGGGCUUUCCCUUCGGGGACAGAGUGACAGGUGGUGCAUGGUUGUCGUCAGCUCGUGUCGUGAGAUGUUGGGUUAAGUCCCGCACCGAGCGCAACCCUUGAUCUUAGUUGCCAGCAUUUAUUUGGCACUCUAAGGUGACUGCCGGUGACAAACCGGAAGAAAGUGGGGAUGACUUCAAUCAUCAUGCCCCUUAUGACCUGGGCUAACCACUGCUACAUGGAAAGAACAAAGGCUGCCAG
Molecule: ribosomal RNA, 1221 nt
Filed under: Bacillus zhangzhouensis
Lineage: Bacteria; Bacillati; Bacillota; Bacilli; Caryophanales; Bacillaceae
Description: bacterial SSU rRNA
Rfam family: Bacterial small subunit ribosomal RNA
Source: RNAcentral